UGCAUGUCAUAUGAUUCAAAAUUUUAGAAAUUAUAGAUGAUCCCUGUGUUGGUAAUUUUAUGUUUGGAACACAAACUAGCUCAUUUCUAUUCCACAAUUUCACUUCUAUGGAAUUCAGCAUAAUUAGGCCAAUUUUCACUGGAAAUGGAAUUAGUAAAAUUUCCAAAUGAACUCCACAAACCUAAGGCAACUGAAUUUUUUUUUGGACUAAUUUUCCUUUGGCAUCUCACAUUCUUCCAAAGCAACAAUACCUUUUUGGAUCACUGAAGUAACUCCAGUGAGUUUAUGGAAGUUGACAAGGAUCACAACUCUUGUGGCCAUAGACUCCAGAUUUUAUGAUAAGGGGGUUCAUCUGAGGAUUGAGGACAGACUUUGGCUACUUAUAUCAGAGAUUGAUUUUGUCAAGAUAGCCCAUUUUGGAUGCCCAAAAUAGGUUUACAGGCACCCAUACCACCAUAGGUUUCUGGACACCAUAAGUUGCAUUAUUGGCCAAAAAUUUAGACAGAAAAGCUUAUUAUGUUAAGGUAUCCAAAAACUAUGGACUUCAUGAAUUCAAUUCUAAAACUUGUUCCAAACAUAAG
Molecule: unclassified non-coding RNA, 581 nt
Filed under: Hevea brasiliensis (rubber tree)
Lineage: Eukaryota; Viridiplantae; Streptophyta; Magnoliopsida; Malpighiales; Euphorbiaceae
Source: RNAcentral